This is a long non-coding RNA of Malurus melanocephalus (red-backed fairy wren), 1579 nucleotides long. RefSeq lists it as uncharacterized. The transcript is spliced from 3 exons. Lineage: Eukaryota; Metazoa; Chordata; Aves; Passeriformes; Maluridae. The record is from RefSeq and is a predicted model, not a curated record.
AGAAAAUGAUACUUCUACAGCCAAAGAAGCAUUAUUUAAUACUUGGGCUGUCUGCUGAGGCCUCACGUUGUUAUGCCACAGGAAGAAAAUAAGUGACGCUUCUAAGGAAAAAAUAUUAAAUCAAGAAUAUUGAUUAGAAAAGUCUCCUAUGUUGACAUGCAUUUUAGAAAUUCAAUUUUAUGAAGAACAUUUUGUUAAGAAGACAAUGGGAUGGGACUGCAGUAAGGGAGCAAAUACGCUUCAUGUUUAAUGUGGCUGAAUGCUGCUCAGCAAUUGUGGAAUGAAUCUGUCCUUUGGUCACAACACCGUAGCAUGAAUUUACUGAAAGUUUUCAGAGAGAUUCAUAGCAUGUUACCCAUUUUAUGCCCGUGCAAGAUAGAUCCCUUGUGUCUAAUCUGCCAAAGUACCCUGCACUCACAGCUGCAACUGGAGUCAGUGUGGCAGACAGAACAUAAAUGCUAUAUAUUGCCUUCAUAGCAACCUCAGAUGAAAUUUCUGAACGCUUCAACUGCACUGAAAACAAUAAAGAAGACAAUUAAAAUGUAAGYGGCUAUCCAUAGUUAUCACAAGUGAGAAAGUUUACUUCCAGCAUUUUCAGUCUGUCAUCCAUGAUUGAAAAAACAGGCAGAUUUCAAUCCGUGAAACAGCACAUCAGUGAAAGAAGGGACUGUAUGAACAGGACAGCCUACACCACACAAGUAGGAGGCUAAUCUUCUCAGUUGGAAACUAGCUGGAGCAGCCAGGAUAUUAAAUCAGCAACACAAGGGGAGAUUAUUUGGAAGGCAAAUGAGGGACAUGCUCAAAUUCAGCACCKAACGAGCAAGUUGAACCAAUGUGGCAAAGGAUAUAAUGAAAAGAAUCUCUUCACUAUUUUAUGCUUUGAUCCUAGGAAUCUGGGUAAGCAGCAAGAGGAAACUCUCAUUGAUGGGAAUAAAUUUUAUAUAACCAAUAUUACUAAAAUCUGGUGGACAACUGGCAUGUUAAAGUCUCUGAUUAACAGGAAGGAUAAGCGAGGCAGAAUGGAAACAGGAUGCCUUAACACCCCCCUCCCCCACCAGGCCAUUAUUCCUUUUAGAAUGAUCAGUAACACAGGACCACAGCUCUUGAACACGUAGAGGUCAAUAUGCUAACUAAAAUAACUUAAGAAAGACUUGCUGGUCAGCUAACUAGGGCACGGAUCAAGCUUUUUUUUCCAGCACAUUUUUAUAAUCUUUGGAAAGGAAAAGAAUGAUGCUACACUGCCAGUUUAGGAUACAUAUUCUGUGAGUUCUUUGUGAACAAUUAUAAACUAAUUUUAUACACUUCCAAAAACCAUAUAUUAUUUAUGAGCAUGAGGUAAACAAUCUCAUUAUAAAACUAGAAAUGUCAAUCACUGUAAUGAAUAUGAUAUCUACUUGGAGAUAAGUGAUAAUAAACUGAUUGAAUUCCACAUGGGAAAAAGCAGCCAGAAUCUUUACAUGCACAGAAAUACUUAAACAUGUAUUUGAAGUACUUGAGAGAAAAAAGAAUAGGAGAAUGUCACAGAAAAAUGGGGAGUCCUUUAAGGGUUGCUAUAAAAAAAAUUACCUCACAACCAAGC